This 76-nucleotide transfer RNA is filed under the name Thermocladium modestius. It matches the Rfam family "tRNA". From Rfam's summary of the family: Transfer RNA (tRNA) molecules are approximately 80 nucleotides in length. Their secondary structure includes four short double-helical elements and three loops (D, anti-codon, and T loops). Further hydrogen bonds mediate the characteristic L-shaped molecular structure. tRNAs have two regions of fundamental functional importance: the anti-codon, which is responsible for specific mRNA codon recognition, and the 3' end, to which the tRNAs corresponding amino acid is attached (by aminoacyl-tRNA synthetases). tRNAs cope with the degeneracy of the genetic code in two manners: having more than one tRNA (with a specific anti-codon) for a particular amino acid; and 'wobble' base-pairing, i.e. permitting non-standard base-pairing at the 3rd anti-codon position. RNAcentral also lists the same sequence under 2 other names. The record is from Rfam by way of RNAcentral. Lineage: Archaea; Thermoproteati; Thermoproteota; Thermoprotei; Thermoproteales; Thermoproteaceae.
GCGGCCGUAGUCUAGUUUGGAUCAGGACGACGGCCUUCCACGCCGUAGAUCGUGGGUUCAAAUCCCACCGGCCGCA